AUGAGUCACUUUUUAAGAACUGAAACUCCCUCAGUGAUCAGCAAUGUUAUUACAAUUCAAAAACAACAGGAUAAGCUGCUAUCAACCUUCCCUCAGGCAAGAUGGCACCAGCAUUGUGCACCGCGCAUUCUGUCUGCUCUGUUCAGUUUACUAGUUUUCCUGUUUAUCCAGGUUUUUAGUCCUAGUGCCUCAGCUAUUUUAGUAUAUGAUCGUCAGUCCCUUUUACACAUUAAGGUAUCCUACAAAUUGUUACUUAAGCUGUCUUCCCUCUGCUAUUUUAAGUAUACCUGCCUACCUCCGCCACACGCCCUACACCACAACUCAGAGGAAGCGCACAAGGAGACAUGGAAUGGGAACCUGUGGGAUGUUCUCAGGCCUUCAGAGGUGAUCUCAGGGAGGGACCUGAGAGGCUCAGUGAGGAGCUAAACCCCCAAAAUCUUAGAGAGGAAGAGGCUGCUGGAUGAUGGUGUCAUGGCUGUUGCACGAAUCUCACCUGCUGCUUGUUUGUUGGGAAAACUUAAUUUCAUGUUGAAUUGCUUCUUUUUAUAACAACAUAAGCCCCUCUAUUAUAACUGUACACAUGAAAGCAUAUUUUUGAAGCGACAAUUUCACUGAUUAAUACAUUAAAUUCUUUUUUUACCUCCUCUGAUUUCCACCAAACUAAAAAUUAGCCUGUGUCUUCUAUUUUUACUUAAACAAAAAUAUAUUUUAUAUGUUCGUAGAAUCCAUACAAUAAGGAAAUUCAGUGGGUUAAUUACCCAGAAAAUUAAGAAAUGGCAACAUUUGAAUUUUAAGGCUGAAAUGUUUGAUGUUAUUAUGUUAUUUUCUCACAAAUAAUUAAAUUUCAAUUAACUACAGGAAAUUGUUGUUCAACCAUUCAACAAGAAUCUGUUACAGUUCUGUUGUUAAUAACUUUAUCAAUUUUUUAAAUGAAAUUAUUCUUAAGAUUAAGUAUGAUAAAAAUAAGAAUAAUAUAUAUCAACAAUUUAAACACAGGUAUGUAAACACUUAAUGCAUAAUUCAAACUAAAUACACGGAUGUGAAAAUUCACAGAAAUCCACCAGUGUUUCUUUUUUACAUCAAACCUGUUUAAUAUUUCUGUUUCUUUGAGUCUUUAAAAGAAACAUUAUGAAGAGACAGGUUGUGUAAAAAUAUAGUAAUGUUCUAAUAAUGUUUUCAUUUUAAUUAAAUUUAUGUUGGUGUAGGUGUCUUUCCUGCAGGGCACUUGCUGAUCUGCCAGGUGUGUUGUUUUUAGAUUGGACUGGAGGAUUUUCUUUUCACAUGCCUGAGGAUAUCUUAUCUCUUUAAACCAGUUUAACUGCAGUUUUGAAAGUUUCAAAAAAAAUCUUCAUUGUCUCUUAUUCAUUUUAGUUUCGCUUUUAGAUUGAUGGACAUUUAACAGAAAAUCAGCUUUACAGGACUACUGUUCUUUCAAGCCAAGCAUUUUAACAUUUUAUAUAUGUAAAGAUAUUAAAUCAAAAGCCUUAAUUGUGCAGGAAUUUUGGUAAUAAUAAUGAUAACUAUUAUCUCUGUUUCACCCUGACUGGAAAGUAAAAUGGUGCCUGAUUCAUGGAAAAUGUUUUUUUUUUUUUUUUCAGACUUGGUUUUAAUCGCAGAGCUGUUUAAUGUGUCACCCUUGUGUGUUUUACUUCCAAACAAACACGCUGCUGUCAUUUCACAACCGUGUCUGUCUCAGCAGAAGCAAAACCUGCCGAAUUCCCCUCCGACUCUUUUUUUUUAUCAGCGUCACGAUUCCCACAUUCAUGUCGGUAAACGAAGAAGAAAAGACGCAGAGCCACUUUCAUCUCAUUCACUCUGUGAAAGGUGCGCUGAUGAUGAUGACGAUGAUGAUGAUGAUGAUGAUGAUGAUGAUGAGUCACCGCUCGAUCCUCGCUGCAAAAAGUGACCAGCCUUAGUCUUUUAUUCAUGUCACUGUCGGAUGACGGGCAGCUGAUGGCCCGCGCUGGGUGUUUAUUUAUUUAUUUAUUGUUGUUAUUUAAAAAAACAAACUCUAAACAAAAGAAUUUGAUCCGACAGAUAUUUCUUGCAGUGUGCAGCGGCGGAAUUUCACGAAACUUUUCAGACUUGCAGUAUUUAUGUCGACAGGUCCCCUGCCGGUGUACCUUUUACUGUAGAGGGUCAUAUCUUUAAUGUCGUUAUGUGUAACCCACGGGGUGUGUUCCGAUUUUAUUGUGAUAUGGUAAUUGAAUGCUUCCGGGGACAAAAUGCGCCGCUGCUGUUGCUUCUGAUCUCACUCAGUGGAGCCGCUGGCGUCACUGUUCCGCUGCAGGGGAAAGAUCUCCUGACACGCGUGUUAAUACAGCACCUCUGACAAGUUGUUUCAUUCAAAUUUGUUAUGGGGGUGGGGCUGCUCCGUUCUGUCAAGAUUUUUAGAUCCCCCAUCAUGAUUGUAUUAUCAUCUGUACUUUAAUGCUCUGAUCGAUUUAAAAGCUCCUUCAAUGAAUAAAGGAGAGUUUUCCAACGUCCACUCACUGUGCUUUUUUCACAUGUUCAAGAUUGUAGGCUCUUUGUGGGGAUUCUGCAGUGCAAGCUGAUGAUGAUGUGGAAUCAACCUGAUAUUUUUAAAGACUCA
Molecule: long non-coding RNA, 2593 nt
Filed under: Mastacembelus armatus (zig-zag eel)
Lineage: Eukaryota; Metazoa; Chordata; Actinopteri; Synbranchiformes; Mastacembelidae
Description: lncRNA (ENSMAMG00000024610.1)
Source: RNAcentral